CCCUUAGAUGUCCUGGGCUGCACGCGCGCUACACUGAUGUGUCCAGUAAGCACCUAACCUCUUCCGAAAGGAACGGGUAACCUUUGCAAAGCACAUCGUGAUGGGGAUAGAUUAUUGCAAUUAUUAGUCUUGAACGAGGAAUUCCUAGUAAGCACAAGUCAUCAGCUUGUGUUGAUUACGUCCCUGCCCUUUGUACACACCGCCCGUCGCUCCUACCGAUUGAAUGUUCCGGUGAGCUCUUCGGACUGCGCGGUCGGCAGUUUCUGCGUUCCGUGCGGAAAGUUGCGCAAACCUUAACAUUUAGAGGAAGGAGAAGUCGUAACA
RNAcentral lists this ribosomal RNA (324 nucleotides) under uncultured eukaryote. Its description in RNAcentral is "partial 18S ribosomal RNA". It matches the Rfam family "Eukaryotic small subunit ribosomal RNA", at positions 1470 to 1796 of the family's 1831-position model. The record is from RNAcentral.